GUGCUCCCUUCUGCAGCACAUAUACUAAAAUUGGAAGGAUACAGAGAUUAGCAUGGCCCCUGCGCAAAGAUGACACGCAAAUUCAUGAAGGGUUCCAUUUUUUU
This is a small nuclear RNA of Talpa occidentalis (Iberian mole), 104 nucleotides long. NCBI's taxonomy places the organism in Eukaryota, Metazoa, Chordata, Mammalia, Eulipotyphla, Talpidae. The record is from RefSeq and is a predicted model, not a curated record.